CACAGUUUUAAUACAUUGAGUAAACAUUUCCACGCUAGAUUAUUGUAUAUACAUUAUAAUCUAAUGAGUAAAAAAUAUAUGGUAAUUGUGUCCUCAAGAAUUAGGCUGUUGAGUCUAUUUGAUGCAAUCUAACUAAUGUGAUAAAGAUACCCCCAUCAAAAUCCGUCAGUUUAAACUAUAGAUAUCUGGAAUGUGGCAGAGCUACAGCCCUGAUUGUCAGACCAAUCGAUGGUGUUCUCCAUUUUGCUCUACGACCAACACAAGUGUCUCGGGACUCGUCUGAAGGUAAACCAUACAAAUGAAUGGAGGUAGUUGUGCCAACAAGAAUAAGGGGUUAAAAUGUGUCCAAAAAACUAAAAUAUUUCCUGAGCUUUCUUAGAUCUCCUAGACAUAGGAAAGACACUACAAAACCUUAUGAUUUAUUUUUGACUGUAUUUUUUUUGCCAUUUAUGAAUGUGCUAUUCAACGUGUUUCUAUGGGCUAUAGUAGUAAAGACCAAAUUUGAUCAAAUAAUUUGGUUGGAGGGCCCCCCCUCCAUGUAAUUCAGCCAUGAUUACUACAAGCUGGCCAGACUAAGUUACCUAGCAAUCUAUAAAAUGUUAGUUGACAUGGGCUAAUUGAGUGACUGUCAGUGACAGACACGAAAAGAAAACUGCUGAUGCACAACCACAUUUGGAAUUGCAACCAUAUGUAUUCUGCUGUUUUAACUCCCAACAGUAAGUUGAGACCCCGACUGAGUUCCUAAAGUCCCUGGGUGGGGAGCCCUCUAGGGGCCGCGGGGCCCUAAGCGCAACGUGUACUGUGUAUAGGCGGGGCCCUACGCGCAGCGCGUACUCUGGGUAUAGGCGGAGGCGGCACCGACUACAACCCCAAAAUCUCGGACAUUGUGUGCCUUUGUGCAAAGAUAGAGUCGUAGACAUCCCACUUUGGUUUCCUCAUAAAGUUCUUCCACAGUGCUUGAAUUGUUUACUUGAGUGUACCUCCAUCUGAUUUCUCUGCGAUAGUCCUCCAGUUGGGUGUUUUUCUUUGAAAGUCCAUUUGGGAAAAACAUUUCCUCUGCCAUUACUUUGAUUUCCUCAACAGAUUUCUUUUUGUCAACAUAGAGGUGUCUUGUACCGCCACCGUUUACUGUCCUGACUUGCUUGAACUCUUGCCCCUUUUCAUUGAAGUCCAUCCAGCCUAGUUCAAUUAUUCUCUGUUUCUUCUUGGCAUUGGUAUUCCCCAACAAUCCAGUUUUUAAUCGUGUGGUUUGUUUAUCCCUAACAGACCCUAAUCUGCCUUUCAAGCUCUCUGUCAUGGCAUCCAUGUAAUUCGCUUGGCUGCAAAGUGUGGACAGUCCGUCUCCAUACUCUGACAAAUCACUGUCCGCCAUGAAUGGGAUGACUGAAGUAUCAAUCUGCAAAAACAUGGAAAACAACGAUUUGUUUAUUAUAAACAACGAUUUGUUUAUUAUAAACAAUGAUUUGUUUAUUAUAAACAAGGUUUCAAUUGUAAAAUAACAUUAUUUUGGUUUUGACUGUAAAUGUUGUGCUACUAAGUGACCUUAACAUUCAUUUCACCAACACUAAAUAUGGUUACUCGGCAAACACUUACACUUUCAUUGGUUUCCACUGGUACGCCCUCCUCUUUAAUCCAGUCCUCUUCAAUCCAAU
This 1652-nucleotide long non-coding RNA is filed under the name Salmo salar (Atlantic salmon). Its description in RNAcentral is "lncRNA (ENSSSAG00000090867.1)". The record is from RNAcentral. Lineage: Eukaryota; Metazoa; Chordata; Actinopteri; Salmoniformes; Salmonidae.